UGGGGAAUCUUGCGCAAUGCGCGAAAGCGUGACGCAGCAACGCCGCGUGGGGGAAGAAGGCCUUCGGGUUGUAAACCCCUUUCAGUUGGGACGAAGCUUCGUCGGUUAAUAGCCGGCCGGAGUGACGGUACCUUCAGAAGAAGCCCCGGCUAACUACGUGCCAGCAGCCGCGGUAAUACGUAGGGGGCUAGCGUUGUCCGGAAUCAUUGGGCGUAAAGCGCGUGUAGGCGGUCCGGUAAGUCCGCUGUGAAAGUCGGGGGCUCAACCCGCGGAUGCCGGUGGAUACUGUCGGGCUUGAGUACGGAAGAGGCGAGUGGAAUUCCUGGUGUAGCGGUGAAAUGCGCAGAUAUCAGGAGGAACACCAAUUGCGAAGGCAGCUCGCUGGGACGUUACUGACGCUGAGACGCGAAAGCGUGGGGAGCAAAC
RNAcentral lists this ribosomal RNA (426 nucleotides) under uncultured bacterium. RNAcentral's name for it is "bacterial SSU rRNA". It matches the Rfam family "Bacterial small subunit ribosomal RNA", at positions 355 to 773 of the family's 1533-position model. The record is from RNAcentral.